ACACGGAGGGCGCAAGCGUUGCUCGGAAUCACUGGGCGUAAAGCGGGUGUAGGCGGUCUAGCAAGUCAGAUGUGAAAGCCCACGGCUCAACCGUGGAAGUGCAUCUGAAACUGCUAGACUUGAGUGCCGGAGAGGGAAGUGGAAUUCCUGGUGUAGAGGUGAAAUCCGUAGAUAUCAGGAGGAACACCGGUGGCGAAGGCGACUUCCUGGACGGCCACUGACGCUGAGACCCGAAAGCGUGGGGAGCAAACAGGAUUAGAAACCCUAGUAGUCC
RNAcentral lists this ribosomal RNA (274 nucleotides) under uncultured bacterium. RNAcentral's name for it is "partial 16S ribosomal RNA". It matches the Rfam family "Bacterial small subunit ribosomal RNA", at positions 523 to 796 of the family's 1533-position model. The record is from RNAcentral.